Molecule: ribosomal RNA, 253 nt
Filed under: uncultured bacterium
Lineage: Bacteria
Description: partial 16S ribosomal RNA
Rfam family: Bacterial small subunit ribosomal RNA
Source: RNAcentral
UACGAAGGGGGCUAGCGUUGCUCGGAAUCACUGGGCGUAGAGGGCGCGUAGGCGGGUUCUUAAGUCAGGGGUGAAAGCCCAAGGCUCAACCUUGGAAUUGCCUUUGAUACUGAGGGCCUUGAGACCGGAAGAGGUCGGCGGAACUGCGAGUGUAGAGGUGAAAUUCGUAGAUAUUCGCAAGAACACCAGUGGCGAAGGCGGCCGACUGGUCCGGUUCUGACGCUGAGGCGCGAAAGCGUGGGGAGCAAACAGG